UCAUCAGUGGGGGGAGACGAAUAUAUGCUUCUCUCUUAAUCUUCUUUAGGAUCUAUGCACGAGGAGCAGAGAGAGAAGUGUAGGAGUCAUAUCUGUAACUGAAGUUAUUCGAUUUUGAACUCCAUCAUGGAGCGAGGUUCCUUUAUUAGCCGAUACCCAACUUGGUCCAACCAAAGCCUUGUUCUUCUGCUUCUUUUUCUUCUGACCUUUUCCUUUUGAUUGGCACCAGCUAGUAGUACCCUCAUCCGUACGGAUAUAUUUAUACGUGCGC
RNAcentral lists this long non-coding RNA (271 nucleotides) under Elaeis guineensis (African oil palm). RNAcentral's name for it is "long non-coding RNA (EGUI_LNC069197)". The record is from RNAcentral. Lineage: Eukaryota; Viridiplantae; Streptophyta; Magnoliopsida; Arecales; Arecaceae.